Molecule: long non-coding RNA, 919 nt
Filed under: Nicotiana benthamiana
Lineage: Eukaryota; Viridiplantae; Streptophyta; Magnoliopsida; Solanales; Solanaceae
Description: long non-coding RNA (NBEN_LNC004696)
Source: RNAcentral
ACCCAUAUCAAGCAUUCGAUCUGCCUCAUCUAAAGCCAAGUACCUUAUCAUCUGUAACGAGACUCUAGCUCUCUCGAGUAAAUCAACCAAUCUUCCAGGUGUUGCCACAAGAAUAUGCACUCCUCUCUCUAGUUCUCGAAGCUGUCACGCCCCAAAAACAUCUAUAAGAAGUAAAUCAACCAAUCGUCCAGGUGUUGCCACAAGAAUAUGCACUCCUCUCUCUAGUUCUCGAAGCUGUCACGCCCCCAAAAACUUCUAUAAGCAACUCUGAACUGCUUUUAAUGAUGAUAGACAUUUUAAUCUAUUUAUUGGGCACAUAUGAGGUGUCUCUCUCAUAAUGCAUGCGUGAAACCAUACAACAAUUUGCAUAUUCACUAUCUUGUAAACCGUUCAAAAAUUGUCAUGUAAUUAGACUAGAAAGAACCUCUUGCUGAAAGAUAAAAUUCACUGAAUUGAAGGACAAUUUCACACGUGUACAACUUCUGUAAGACGUCAAACAAAAUUGGGAAAGAUAAAGCAGGUGCAAAAAUAUGACAAGUGCAGGUAAGAUCAAGCUUCAACGAAAGCAAUGUUCUUCUUUCACAAAAAAUGAUCUCUCUGAUAGGCAUGAGAAUUUCAAACAGCCUCAACAUAGAAAUGGUAAAACUGGCCUAUGACCGAUGGCUUUUAUCCCCAAUCAAAGUAAAAACUUUUAUCCUUUAUCACUGUAGAGGAAUCUCCAGGACAACAUAAACUUUGUCGCGAGUGUAGGACACAAAUAUAGUCCUUUCUUCUUUAGAAACAGUGGUUUACCAAGAGAACUGUAGGUAAUUGAGCAACAAGGGCAUAACAAAUAAUCCCAAUAGAUGCCACAGAACGAUCUCAGCUGAAUGGAAUAGGCAAAAGUGAAAGCACCGAGCAAACAAGAGAAGAAAUAAAC